Molecule: microRNA precursor, 65 nt
Filed under: Otolemur garnettii (small-eared galago)
Lineage: Eukaryota; Metazoa; Chordata; Mammalia; Primates; Galagidae
Description: miRNA (ENSOGAG00000030208.1)
Source: RNAcentral
UGGGCUCCUAAAGGAGGGAGUACAAUGCUGUGGAAGCAGCACUGGACUUGGAGUCAGAAGACCUG